Transfer RNA from Ipomoea nil (Japanese morning glory), 72 nucleotides. It matches the Rfam family "tRNA". From Rfam's summary of the family: Transfer RNA (tRNA) molecules are approximately 80 nucleotides in length. Their secondary structure includes four short double-helical elements and three loops (D, anti-codon, and T loops). The record is from Rfam. NCBI's taxonomy places the organism in Eukaryota, Viridiplantae, Streptophyta, Magnoliopsida, Solanales, Convolvulaceae.
UUUGUUGUCGUCCAGUGGUUAGGAUAUCUGGCUUUCACCCAGGAGACCCGGGUUAAAUUCCCGGGAAUGGAA